GGAUAUCUUGGCUCUUGCAAAUGAAGAACGCAGCGAAAUGCGAUACCUAGUGUGAAUUGCAGAAUUCCGCGAAUCAUCGAGUUUUUGAACGCAAGUUGCGCCCGAGGCUCGUUCCGAGGGCAUGCCUGCCUGAGCGUCC
This 139-nucleotide ribosomal RNA is filed under the name Cheilolejeunea sp. LDS-2018b. Its description in RNAcentral is "5.8S ribosomal RNA". It matches the Rfam family "5.8S ribosomal RNA". From Rfam's summary of the family: 5.8S ribosomal RNA (5.8S rRNA) is a component of the large subunit of the eukaryotic ribosome. Lineage: Eukaryota; Viridiplantae; Streptophyta; Jungermanniopsida; Porellales; Lejeuneaceae. The record is from RNAcentral.